Molecule: ribosomal RNA, 474 nt
Filed under: uncultured bacterium
Lineage: Bacteria
Description: bacterial SSU rRNA
Rfam family: Bacterial small subunit ribosomal RNA
Source: RNAcentral
AGAGUUUGAUCCUGGCUCAGGAUGAACGCUAGCGGUGCGCCUAAUACAUGCAAGUCGAGCGCCCUCACUUUGUCUUCGAAUCUUUCGAGGCCAGGGUGAGGGAGCGGCGAACGGGUGAGUAACACGUUGGAACCUACCCCAGACUCAGGGAUAGCCCGCCGAAAGGUGGAUUAAUACCGGAUAGUCUCGUAAGAGUAAAGCUUUUGCGGUUUGGGAGGGGCCUGCGGCCUAUCAGCUUGUUGGUAGUGUAAAAGACUACCAAGGCUAUGACGGGUAUCUGGUGUGAGAGCAUGACCAGACACAAUGGAACUGAGACACGGUCCAUACUCCUACGGGAGGCAGCAGUAAGGAAUCUUCCGCAAUGGGCGAAAGCCUGACGGAGCGACACCGCGUGGAGGACGAAGGCCUUUUGGUUGUAAACUCCUUUUCUGGGGGAAUAAAUGAUGAAGUACCCCAGAAUAAGCACCGCUAACU